AGUGAACGCUGGCGGUAGGCCUAACACAUGCAAGUCGAACGGCAGCAUAGGAGAGCUUGCUCUCUGGGUGGCGAGUGGCGGACGGGUGAGGAAUACAUCGGAAUCUACUCUGUCGUGGGGGAUAACGUAGGGAAACUUACGCUAAUACCGCAUACGACCUACGGGUGAAAGCAGGGGACCUUCGGGCCUUGCGCGAUUGAAUGAGCCGAUGUCGGAUUAGCUAGUUGGCGGGGUAAAGGCCCACCAAGGCGACGAUCCGUAGCUGGUCUGAGAGGAUGAUCCGCCACACUGGAACUGAGACACUGUCCAGACUCCUACGGGAGGCAGCAGUGGGGAAUAUUGGACAAUGGGCGCAAGCCUGAUCCAGCCAUACCGCGUGGGUGAAGAAGGCCUUCGGGUUGUAAAGCCCUUUUGUUGGGAAAGAAAUCCAGCUGGCUAAUACCCGGUUGGGAUGACGGUACCCAAAGAAUAAGCACCGGCUAACUUCGUGCCAGCCGCCGCCGUAA
Molecule: ribosomal RNA, 506 nt
Filed under: uncultured bacterium
Lineage: Bacteria
Description: partial 16S ribosomal RNA
Rfam family: Bacterial small subunit ribosomal RNA
Source: RNAcentral